UUCUGAUGCAAUUAUUUUUUAAAGCACCAUCAUGCAAACUCUUGAAUAUAAUGAAACAAAUAUACGAAUAUAUGAAAAAUACGAAAAGGUGCAUAGUAACUAGAUAUAGAAAAUAUAGUAUAAUAAUGAAACAUGUAUCGAAAAGCCUUUCACGCUAAAAAAUAAAAAAUUUAAGUGGUGAUCCUACAACUGAGCCAUUACAAAAUAAAAAAUCAUACCAAUCCACUGCGUACAAUCAAAUCCUCUUUACGUAGUAAACGAGAUAAAUUUUUAUUUCAUUAUUUUUACGGCAUUUAAAUAAAAAUCUGGAUGAUUAAAAAAAAUUGACGGUUGUACAGCCAGAAUAAAAAUUCUAACUACACAAUAAAUAUUUUUAGAAGUGAAAUACAUCGAUUUGAUGAAAAUCAAAGCAAUCGUUAGGUAAUAAAAAAUAAGGAUUUGUACAUCCAAGCGAGACAGGCUUACAUCAUUUUCAUCUCAACGGUAUAUAUGAUACAUAAAAAAAGUGUACACAUUAAUUAUUAAAAAAAAUGAUAUGAGACUUGUUAAAAUAAUCGAAUGAACCCUGCAAUUUUGAAAAAAAAAUAUUAUCAUAGGCAAAAAUAACUUUUUAGUUAUCAUGAAAGAGGAAAAACGGUGACCGUAAUAUUGUGUAUGAAAAAUACGCGGCUCGUCUAUCGAAUUCUUUAACCUUACGUGACUGAAAUAGUAAAAAAAGUGUAUCUGGAUACACUUCUUGUAAAUAUUAGAAAAAAUUCAACUAAGCGUGAACGCUCACACUAAUACACGAUUAAUUGCUGACAGUUGCACGGGAAGGUAUAGUUAAAACAACGUACUUACUUACAAACCAUUGCGGGUCGGCGGCGCUUCCGCGAUAAUUGGUGUGUAAAGAUAAUGCACGUACGCCCUACUUACAAGAACAUUAAUCCAAUUGAAAGCUUGCAUGUGUGCGGAAAAGGCGAAUUUUUAUAUUUACUUAAUACAUCGAAUCAAUUUAUGACGAUUUUCAACGCCAUAAAUGAUAAGUUCGUGAUUGAUAUACGCAUACAUGCAGCGUGCAGAUGAAUAAAAUAAGCUCAAUGAACAAAAAGCUUAUAUAAUGAAUUAAAAAAUUAAAAAUAAAUAUAAUGUAAAAAGUUGAAGGCAUCCGAUUUAAACAGUAGAAAACUAGAUUUUUUUCCCUCAGAUAUUUUCGAGAGACAAUUUUUCAUAAAAAAUUAAUUAAAAUAAUUAAAAACCGAGCACGAGUCCAAAAUCCAUCACCAUUGCCAAAUUUUGUACGUACAUAUUCAUAUUAGUUAGUACUAUGCUGGCUCUUUUUAUUGAUGUUUACUUUUCAUUUAAUUGUUUUUUUAAAUCCUUAAUUUAAUCUAUGUUUCUUGUGUGUGUUAAUUUAUUUAUUUAUUUUUAAUAUAAUGCCGUUUGAUUAUGUGGAAUGUUUAAAUUUCAUUUAUUUUUUAUUUUUUUUACUUGUAUUUCAUAUUAUUCGAUUUUUUGAAUCAGCCCCGAAAAUGCAAAUAAUAAAACUAAAUGAACCCUUAACAAUUAUUUGUAAGUGGUAUGUAAAAUUAAAUUUUUUAUAGGUACACAAGACAUACAAACAGCUUCUUACGUAUGUAUUAACAGAACAACUUACUUAUAAAAAAAAUAUUAUUUGCUUAAACGACAACGUAUUAAUUAAAAUACUUAUUCGUUUGAAAUCUUUGAUAAAAAAUUAUAGAAAACCGACAAAUACUUGUACUUAAUACCACGGAAAGAAAAAUCUACAGAUUCAUAAAAAAAAAUGACUUACAUUUCAUUAAAAACUAAAAACCAACAAUAACAUUUUUUAAAUUUUUUUAGGCAACUUUAGUUUAAAAACUCUGUUUAUCUAUCAACAAAAAUCCAGAGAGAGACAAAUUCAGAGACAGCAAGUGCAACUGGCUGUUCUGGAUGACAACCUGGCAUAUCAUAAAUACGAUCACAAUUAAUUAUUCUUAGCAAGCGAGCAUUUUAUAAAUUGAAAGAAAGAAAAAGUUAUAGGUGCUAUAGUUACAUUAACAAAGGAUGCCAGUUUUUCGAAAAUGAUGACAUUAGUAAUAAUAAACAAAAAAUACCCAAGCAAUUCAAAAUCAACGUGCUGAAUCAUGGGAGGUAUACCUAAUAACGAUUUUAUUAAAAACAAACAUUUAAAGUAGAAAAAUCGAUUAUAUUAUAGAAAAUUAACAGACCAUCCAUAGUUUUUUUGUGGGGUUGGAAGUAACUUGUGUAAAAUUGGGCAAGACGUACUUAUACGAUUACGUAGAUGGUAGAAGUAUCCGAAAUAAAACGGUAUGAGGUGGUUGGUAAAACAUAUAUUAGAUGAUCGAAGAUACAAUUUUUUGCACGUAUUUGAUUGGACUUGCGGGCGAGCGAGCGCUAACGUGAAUUUAAUAUUCAAAUGCAAACCAAACGAAAUAAAUGAGAGUCAGAGAAAAGCCGAAGUUGCUUGCAUGAAAAUUAAUGAAUUAUAUAUUCAUGAAUAUACAUAUACAUACGAAUAUAUAAAUAUACAUAUAUAUAACCAUAUAUACAUAUACAUAAUACUGUACCCGAAGUAUCAUCGGUUGCGAGCGCGCGACUUAGAAAUUAUAGUAUGUAGUAAAAAAAAAAAGUUGGAAUGAAAUGCUUUAUUAAGAAAACUUAAGGAGGAAGUAGAUUGUGACUACCAGCGGCGAUACCUUCGUCUGUAUAAAAUCAAACUAAAAUUAAUCAAAGCUCAGAAUAAAUCAAAAUUCGCUUCGGGGUCAAGUGACCGUGAAGCGACAUCGUCUUCUUCCUUCCGUUCCCUUGUUCUCUGGGUGGCAUAAGUAUUUUUGAGCACUGGAAAAAAAAUAUGUUCGUUUGAUUACCUGUGAGUGUUUUGAGGUGAACUAGCAGAAAAUGAAAUAAUGAAAUUAAAAAAAAAUAAAGUAAAAUAGAGGACACACGCGUACACGCGACAU
RNAcentral lists this long non-coding RNA (2963 nucleotides) under Copidosoma floridanum. Its description in RNAcentral is "uncharacterized LOC111643411". The record is from RNAcentral. Lineage: Eukaryota; Metazoa; Arthropoda; Insecta; Hymenoptera; Encyrtidae.